UUUCCGAAUGGGGAAACCCAGCAUGAGUUAUGUCAUGUUAUCGAUAUGUGAAUACAUAGCAUAUCAGAAGGCACACCCGGAGAACUGAAACAUCUUAGUACCCGGAGGAAGAGAAAGAAAAUUCGAUCCCCUUAGUAGCGGCGAGCGAAACGGGAAGAGCCCAAACCAACAAGCUUGCUUGUUGGGGUUGUAGGACACUCUAUACGGAGUUACAAAGGACGACAUUAGACGAAUCAUCUGGAAAGAUGAAUCAAA
This 255-nucleotide ribosomal RNA is filed under the name Staphylococcus aureus. Its description in RNAcentral is "partial 23S ribosomal RNA". It matches the Rfam family "Bacterial large subunit ribosomal RNA", at positions 111 to 359 of the family's 2925-position model. The record is from RNAcentral. Lineage: Bacteria; Bacillati; Bacillota; Bacilli; Caryophanales; Staphylococcaceae.